This is a non-coding RNA of Mycena galericulata, 96 nucleotides long. NCBI's taxonomy places the organism in Eukaryota, Fungi, Basidiomycota, Agaricomycetes, Agaricales, Mycenaceae. The record is from the annotation of a GenBank genome assembly.
GCCCUCGUGGUGUAUACUCGGUAACACGUCACGGACUCAUACGGCCAGAUCGUUUGGAUUGGCGUGACAAACCCGGUUCAAGUCCGGGCGAGGGCA